RNAcentral lists this non-coding RNA (27 nucleotides) under Homo sapiens (human). The record is from RNAcentral. Lineage: Eukaryota; Metazoa; Chordata; Mammalia; Primates; Hominidae.
CAUCUGAUGAAGCGAAUUCAGAGAGGC